GACGAACGCUGGCGGCGUGCCUAAUACAUGCAAGUUGAGCGCUGAAGGUUGGUACUUGUACCGACUGGAUGAGCAGCGAACGGGUGAGUAACGCGUGGGGAAUCUGCCUUUGAGCGGGGGACAACAUUUGGAAACGAAUGCUAAUACCGCAUAAAAACUUUAAACACAAGUUUUAAGUUUGAAAGAUGCAAUUGCAUCACUCAAAGAUGAUCCCGCGUUGUAUUAGCUAGUUGGUGAGGUAAAGGCUCACCAAGGCGAUGAUACAUAGCCGACCUGAGAGGGUGAUCGGCCACAUUGGGACUGAGACACGGCCCAAACUCCUACGGGAGGCAGCAGUAGGGAAUCUUCGGCAAUGGACGAAAGUCUGACCGAGCAACGCCGCGUGAGUGAAGAAGGUUUUCGGAUCGUAAAACUCUGUUGGUAGAGAAGAACGUUGGUGAGAGUGGAAAGCUCAUCAAGUGACGGUAACUACCCAGAAAGGGACGGCUAACUACG
RNAcentral lists this ribosomal RNA (495 nucleotides) under uncultured bacterium. Its description in RNAcentral is "partial 16S ribosomal RNA". It matches the Rfam family "Bacterial small subunit ribosomal RNA", at positions 28 to 505 of the family's 1533-position model. The record is from RNAcentral.